Molecule: long non-coding RNA, 1489 nt
Organism: Oxyura jamaicensis (ruddy duck)
Lineage: Eukaryota; Metazoa; Chordata; Aves; Anseriformes; Anatidae
Exons: 2
Source: RefSeq, a predicted model, not a curated record
UAGAGGCUGGCUAGCAAACUUAAAGGAUGAGGAGAGACUUGGUCGGGCUCCAAUGGGCUGUAAACAGGGGAGGAAUGGCAAGGCACUAUUUGUUCCUCUCCCUUCAGUGUUUCUGGAACAGCACCCGGAGUCCUGUGCUGAGUUUUGUUUUCCCCACAGGGAGACUGAUAAAUCAGAGCAAGUCCAGCUGAGGGCCACCAAGAUACUCGGGGGCUGGAUCAAGUUGCACACUGAGAGUUGGAGAGAGCUGUGCUGUAGCCAGAGGAAGAGUUGGAGAGAGCUGUGCUGUAGCCAGAGGAAGAGAAAGCAAUUAGGGUCCUUUUGGAUUGUGAAAGUUUUGCAGGCUGAUGUGAUUUUUCUUCUGGGGACUAAACAGUGUGGAGUUCGCAAGGAAUCCUCCGUUUUCCUUGAAGAUGGUUGUUACUCUGCAGUGCAAGUUGAUAUCCAAGCUUGUGUAGACACCGAUGUGCUCCAGAAUCUCCUGACACAAGACACCAUAUGCUAGAGCAAGAAUAAACACCCAAAAUGAACAUCCUUUAGCAGAGCUUUUCAGAAAAACUGUCAAGUCUGAGGAAUGUUUUGGAUUUGCAAAUGGCAAUGAAGUUGUUCUUACCUUGUAUCUUCAAGUGUACAAACACCUCUUUUCCUUUACAGUUGAAAGGAAGCCUGAGUAGAGCUUACAUAGGUAUAACACUUAAUGCAUAUUUGAAUACAAAUGUUUGUUACAAGAUUUCCCUUUAUUCUUUAGUAUUCAUAAAUCUUCCUUUCAGAGGGAAAUCAUGCACUUAAUCUUGCAUAACAUGUUCAGAAUAUAUGAAGUUCCAGAAAAGAUACCAAUUGAGUAGUUCCACGUAGGAAAAGAUCUGAAAAUGCAAAUGGUUUAUAAAUAUUAAUAGCUUAAAUCUUUUCACUGAACUCCUGGCCCUCCCCAUAUUUGGGGGGGGAAAUAGAUUGUUAAUAUCAGCUUCUCAGAGGUAGGGGAGAAGGUGUUUGAGCAGUAGCAGAUGGUGUCUUAUCUGGGUCUGUUUUAUGUUGUAAGUGAAGCAAAGCAGGUAUGAGUGUUAGCUCUUACACUUAAACACCUGUGUUUCUGUUGCUUGAACAAACAGGAGUUGGCUAGCCUGAUACCAACGAAAGGCUAAGGGUUACUGUAAGUGAGCAGAGGUGUAUGUUAUUGCAGAUCAGUGGAAAUAUUAAGUGCAGAUGAAAUAAUCUUCUCAAGCAGCAGCUGUGUUGCUGGUUCUUUUCCUUUUCCAUCAUUUAAAAGGACACUUACCUUAGGGCAGGAGGUCAGAGGAUGGGGUUCUAGGACAGCAUGUUCAGCAGGCUCUGGUUCCAUAGCCUACCUGGCCCCCCAGAAGCAGGUAGUUUGGUUUUUGCAACCGAGUUAUUGCAAUGCCAGUGCAAACUAGGUCUGAAAUGCAAUGUUGCAGUUUGAGGCAUAACCUCCCUGUGACAAUAUCAACAGGUCUUAUUAAUUCUGUAAGGU